RNAcentral lists this ribosomal RNA (254 nucleotides) under uncultured bacterium. RNAcentral describes it as "partial 16S ribosomal RNA". It matches the Rfam family "Bacterial small subunit ribosomal RNA", at positions 524 to 776 of the family's 1533-position model. The record is from RNAcentral.
UACGAAGGUCCCAAGCGUUAUCCGGAUUUAUUGGGUUUAAAGGGUGCGUAGGCGGACUAUUAAGUCAGUGGUGAAAGCCCCAAGCUUAACUUGGGAACUGCCAUUGAUACUGAUGGUCUUGAGUACAUUUGAGGUGGGCGGAAUGUGUCAUGUAGCGGUGAAAUGCUUAGAUAUGACACAGAACACCGAUUGCGAAGGCAGCUCACUAACUGUAAACUGACGCUGAGGCACGAAAAGCGUGGGGAGCAAACAGG